GAUGAACGCUGGCGGCGUGCCUAAUACAUGCAAGUCGAGCGAACAGACGAGGAGCUUGCUCCUUUGACGUUAGCGGCGGACGGGUGAGUAACACGUGGGUAACCUACCUAUAAGACUGGGAUAACUUCGGGAAACCGGAGCUAAUACCGGAUAAUAUUUCGAACCGCAUGGUUCGAUAGUGAAAGAUGGCUCUGCUAUCACUUAUAGAUGGACCUGCGCCGUAUUAGCUAGUUGGUAAGGUAACGGCUUACCAAGGCAACGAUCCGUAGCCGACCUGAGAGGGUGAUCGGCCACACUGGAACUGAGACACGGUCCAGACUCCUACGGGAGGCAGCAGUAGGGAAUCUUCCGCAAUGGGCGAAAGCCUGACGGAGCAACGCCGCGUGAGUGAUGAAGGUCUUCGGAUCGUAAAACUCUGUUAUUAGGGAAGAACAAACGUGUAAGUAACUGUGCACGUCUUGACGGUACCUAAUCAGAAAGCCACGGCUAACUACGUG
Molecule: ribosomal RNA, 497 nt
Filed under: uncultured bacterium
Lineage: Bacteria
Description: partial 16S ribosomal RNA
Rfam family: Bacterial small subunit ribosomal RNA
Source: RNAcentral